This 327-nucleotide ribosomal RNA is filed under the name uncultured eukaryote. RNAcentral describes it as "partial 18S ribosomal RNA". It matches the Rfam family "Eukaryotic small subunit ribosomal RNA", at positions 1470 to 1796 of the family's 1831-position model. The record is from RNAcentral.
CCCUUAGAUGUUCUGGGCCGCACGCGCGCUACACUGACGAAUGCAACGAGCUUAUAACCUUGGCCGAAAGGUCUGGGUAAUCUCCAAAUUUCGUCGUGAUGGGGAUAGAUUAUUGCAAUUAUUAAUCUUCAACGAGGAAUGCCUAGUAAGCGCAAGUCAUCAGCUUGCGUUGAUUACGUCCCUGCCCUUUGUACACACCGCCCGUCGCUCCUACCGAUUGAAUGGUCCGGUGAAGCGUUCGGACCGUGGCCUUUGGACGGUUCGCCGUCUGUUGGCUGCGGGAAGUUCGUUAAACCUUAUCACCUAGAGGAAGGAGAAGUCGUAACA